CGGGGCGUGGCGCAGCCCGGUUAGCGCACCUGCUUUGGGAGCAGGGGGUCGCAGGUUCGAAUCCUGCCGCCCCGA
Molecule: transfer RNA, 75 nt
Filed under: Thermonema sp.
Lineage: Bacteria; Pseudomonadati; Bacteroidota; Cytophagia; Cytophagales; Thermonemataceae
Description: tRNA-Pro
Rfam family: tRNA
About the family: Transfer RNA (tRNA) molecules are approximately 80 nucleotides in length. Their secondary structure includes four short double-helical elements and three loops (D, anti-codon, and T loops).
Source: RNAcentral